CUAAUACUGCGGUUGGUGAAAUCAGAAAGACAGGAACCUCUCUGGUGAAAUUGACCUAGAUUACUUUCAUCUGGCAUAACUAGUUAUUCUAUGUUUUAUAAAGUUUUCUUUUUUACUUUUUCCGAAUUAUAUUGUACGAAACGUUAUGUUUGCACUACGACAAAUAUAUUUAUUUUGUACAAAACAAAAAAAGUGUGCACCAGUAAAACACUUAAUUAAGUCAUCCAAUCACAAAAUUUAUACAUCUAAAGUUAUGUCUCAUGGUGAAUAUGAAAUGCAGGAUCCUAAAACAGAGGCCGAUGUAGUUAACGUUAUAUUUAUUGAUAAAACAGGCAAGAAAGUUAAAGUAAAAGGAAAAGUAGGAGACAAUGUAUUAUAUUUAGCUCAUAGAUAUGAGAUUGAGAUGGAAGGGGCAUGCGAGGCCAGUUUAGCGUGUACAACUUGUCAUGUGUAUGUACAUCAUGAUUAUAUGGAUAAACUUCCUAUGCCUAAUGAAACAGAAGAAGAUCUCUUGGAUUUAGCGCCAUUCUUAAAGGAAAAUUCUAGACUAGGUUGUCAAAUAAUUUUGGAGAAAGAAUUAGAUGGCAUAGAGCUGGAAUUACCUAAGGCGACUAGAAAUUUUUAUGUAGACGGGCAUACUCCCAGUUCACAUUAAAAAAAAUAUUUUUUUAUUUGAAGUUAACUGAAUUAAACAUGUAAAUACUUGUGAUUUCGUUAUGUGUUACAAAUAUUUGACAUCGCAUUACUCUAUCUGCGAAGAUGGUUUCUCAAGGCUACUUCAUUGGAAUAAUAAAUAUAUGUAUAUAUAUUACUCUAUGUCUUAACAUUCGCAUCAAGUUCAGAUCAACUUGUUCUUUUUCCUUAUCUUAUAUGUGAUUUUUUGCUUCUAAUUAAAUAGCAGAAGUUGUAACACUCGUUCGACGGAUAUUGUAUCCAAACUCAUUCCUGCAUAUUACACAUGUUACAAACGCUUAUAAUACAUUUGUAGAUAAAAGUGAUACUUUAUCUCGUUGUGAAACAAAUUAUCCGUUUAUAUUUCGCAAAUUUUUCCUCCCUUAAUUUAUAUUUUGUUGUGUAUUUAUGUUAUUAAAAGAAGUUUUAACAAAAUGUAACAAAAAAUAAAAAUUUAAAGUUUUACUUAGGAAUUUAUUUUUACCUAGAAAUACGUUAAAGCAUAAUUUUAAUACAGAUACAAGUGGAUUCAUUGUAUGAUUUAUAGCUAUUAUUCAGUCUAGUAUUGGGCAAAAUUUAAUUAAUUUGUCAAUUAACAAUUAUGAUUAAAAAUUUAGUUCUUCGUUAUUAGAUAUAAUACUUAGUAUUUUUAGUUAUAAUAAACAUUUUUUAGUUGUUUCAGAAUAAAUCUCAGCCAUUGAUUAAAUUUUUAAUCCCUAAAAUAAAUCGAUUAAUAUAAAUUGUUGUAAUUGUGAUUAAUUUUUAAUUGAUUAAUUGUAAAUAAUUAAUUUUGAGGAAAAAAAUUGUAAUUGUUAGUUGUAAUCACUGAUUUACAACAUUGAAUGAAAGCUAAAAAAAUAGUAUUGGGUUAUAUAAUAAAUAAAAUAAUUUAAUUAAAUAAUAUUGAUUUGAAUGUCCUUUCGAUAUGACAAACACAUAUUUCGAUAAUUAAAUCAAUCAUAAUUAUGGUUAUCAUUAAUUCUUAUUUAAUUGGUUUAAGCUAAGAAAAAUUUCAUCGAUUAUAUUAUAAAAUCGUUCGACAAUUUCAUUAAUCGAUUACAUUGAUUAUAAUCAUGAUUAUAUUUUAAAAUUUUAAUUAAUCAUUUUAGUUAACAAAUAAAUUAAUCGAUUAAUGUCCAAUAUUGUCCAACUUUACAAGAUGAUUAAAAUGCGGAUCUUUAUCUGAUGAUAACUAAUCGUACACUUAUUGUACAAUAGACUACAACAGGAUUAUAAUUUCAAGUGCAUUGCCAAAAUAUGCAAUGUCGGACAGAUGUACUUAAAUAUUGCCUUUGCCAAAAUUAUUUUAUAAUUGGUACACAUGCACGCACGCACGCACACACGUAUGUAUAUCUCUAAAAAUAUGCCUUAGACAUCAAAUCUUACAAAAUCAUAAAUUUUACAUCCAUUAAUUAGAAUUGAAGAGACAUUAGCAAAUGUUUUAAUUGUACAAACUUUGUGUUGUGCUUAGAUUUUAAUCGACAUUUUAUUUCUCUAAUUAUCAAAAUAUUUUAAUCUUAUAAAAACAAUAAAAAUAUUAAAUUAAAUGAAUGUAUUGAAAAAAGUUGAUUGUUUUAUAAACUUAUAAAAAGAUAUAACUUAAUAAUUUUAAUAUUUCAAUAAUCUCAAUAUUAAUUUAAAAAUGUCAUAUUUUUCUUAUGUAAAUAUGUUAUUAUUCCAAUCUUUUCAGAAUGCGAGUUUAUCGAUGUUAUUAAUAUUGCAUAAAAUUUAAUAUUGGAUAUUAGGAAAUUUUAUAAAAAUAUAAAAAAACCGAUAUACAAAGUGAGCUAUAUAAUCUGUUAAAAAUCAAUAAUCCAAUAUAUAACCACAUCCUAUAAAGAUACCUUAUUCUUCUCGAUGUAUUUCUAAUAUAUACAAUUUUUUCAAAGUGGAAGUUUUUAGAUCUUGCUUUAAAUUUUUAUUGGAUAAAGUAUAUUUUAACAGUUACAUGAUUAAAAUCAUAAAUAUAAAUGUACAUACGUGUCAUUUACAUACCGAAAAUCUGUUUUUGUUAACCAAUAAGCAAUUUUUGAUGAUAAUAAUUAUUAUAAUAUUUAAGUAUACAAUUUCCUUUAUACGUUAUUUGUUUUAACAUUCGACUUCCGCAAAUGUUUACUUUUAUAUUUAUAUCGAUUUUUAUUUAAAACAAACUAUUAAAAUUAUUUAUUUACCUUAUAUAUUAUACAAUCUUAUUUCACUUCAUAAAAACAUAAAUAACUUUUUUGUAAUUGUAAUGUUUUACUUAUUAGUUUUUAAUAUUGAAUAACAAAUCUUAAACAUAAUGUUUAAUGUCAUCAUAUUAUAAAAAUA
RNAcentral lists this unclassified non-coding RNA (2982 nucleotides) under Monomorium pharaonis (pharaoh ant). RNAcentral describes it as "adrenodoxin-like protein 1, mitochondrial, transcript variant X2". Lineage: Eukaryota; Metazoa; Arthropoda; Insecta; Hymenoptera; Formicidae. The record is from RNAcentral.